Molecule: unclassified non-coding RNA, 448 nt
Filed under: Hevea brasiliensis (rubber tree)
Lineage: Eukaryota; Viridiplantae; Streptophyta; Magnoliopsida; Malpighiales; Euphorbiaceae
Source: RNAcentral
CAAGGAACCAAAAACCCCAAGAAUCGCCAAGAAGCGGCAUCCAUAAAUAAUCUUCUCUAUGUUCUCCUCCACAGCCAGCAAAUUGUGUAUCUUUGAUGAGAACACAGGAGAUGGAGAAGAAGAAGUCUGUGUACCUUGUGGUGCUAAAGGAGCAUCAGCUCUAGAACAUUUGGUGAUGGUCAAUGGAAAUCUAACACCAAAAGGACGAUAUUCAGAAACCCUUUUGGAAAUUGGAGAUAAAUGGGUGGUUUUGAUAAAGAAAGGAGAGGUUUUGAUGAGAGUAGUGGAGAAAUUCAUGUGGAUGAAAAUGGAGAGGUUUUGGCAUGAAUGAAUGUUGCAGAAUCCCUAAGCAAGUACUGUAUUAGAUUUUAUUACUUGCUGUUGACUGAUUAAGCUCUGUCUACCGUAUUAUUCUUUGUUUCUGGAAACGCCAGAAAAUGAAGAGAAG